RNAcentral lists this ribosomal RNA (460 nucleotides) under Dasyneuriola prolifica. Its description in RNAcentral is "partial large subunit ribosomal RNA". It matches the Rfam family "Eukaryotic large subunit ribosomal RNA", at positions 329 to 657 of the family's 3401-position model. Lineage: Eukaryota; Metazoa; Arthropoda; Insecta; Diptera; Cecidomyiidae. The record is from RNAcentral.
CGAAACCGAUAGCGAACAAGUACCGUGAGGGAAAGUUGAAAAGUACUCUGAAUAGAGAGUUAAAUAGUACGUGAAACCGCUUAGGGGUUAAGCCCGAUGAACCCGAAUAUCUGAUGUGAGAAAUUCAAUACAAUUCAAAUUCAUAUUUUUAUAUUGGAUUUGUAUAGUAUGCACUUUUCUCAUAGUAAGACAUUGUAAUCCAUUGAUAUUAUAUCUCGUUAUGAGAUGAUUUAACAUACGGACAAAAUGUUUAUGAUUAUUCUAUCAGUGAUAUGUUUACAUGUCAUAUGAAUAAAAUCGUUUUGUUUCCUGUUUAAAUAGUCGAUGGAUUUUUGAUUGAAAUCAUGCUUGCAAUUUAUUUUGCGUUUCGUAUCAUUAAUUUUUAAUUUUUGAUAGCAGAAAUGGUAUGUAUUCGAUUAACAAUGCGAUAGAUUUGGGAUACUUUCAGGACCCGUCUUGA